This 358-nucleotide RNase P RNA is filed under the name Candidatus Omnitrophota bacterium. Its description in RNAcentral is "RNase P RNA component class A". It matches the Rfam family "Bacterial RNase P class A". From Rfam's summary of the family: Ribonuclease P (RNase P) is a ubiquitous endoribonuclease, found in archaea, bacteria and eukarya as well as chloroplasts and mitochondria. Its best characterised activity is the generation of mature 5'-ends of tRNAs by cleaving the 5'-leader elements of precursor-tRNAs. The record is from RNAcentral. Lineage: Bacteria; Pseudomonadati; Candidatus Omnitrophota.
AGAGCAAGCCAAGGUGGUUGCCCGCCAAUGAAUUGUGGCGGGAGGAAAGUCCGAGCUCCAGAGGGUAAAGCGUAGCGGUUAAUGGCCGCCGUCCUGAUGAGAAUCAGGAUAGGAUUAGAGCCACAGAGACGAGUAACCGCUAAGGCGCAAAAUUUUUGCGUUUUGCGAUGACGUGAAACGAGGCAAUCUCUACGCGGAGCAAGGUCAAAUAGGGAGAGAGAAGUUUUUGCCCGCUUCGUUAAAAUCUCUGGGUAGACUGCUUGAUUCUGUGAAGCAAUUUACAGAAGAAGAGAAAUGACCAUCCAGAUGCGAAAAUUCGCAAUCAGCACAGAACUCGGCUUAUUGGCUUGCUCAAAUG